AGCUACAGGCUUAACACAUGCAAGUCGAGGGGCAGCAUUUUAGUUUGCUUGCAAACUGAAGAUGGCGACCGGCGCACGGGUGAGUAACACGUAUCCAACCUGCCGAUAACUCCGGGAUAGCCUUUCGAAAGAAAGAUUAAUACCGGAUAGUAUACGAAUAUCGCAUGAUAUUUUUAUUAAAGAAUUUCGGUUAUCGAUGGGGAUGCGUUCCAUUAGUUUGUUGGCGGGGUAACGGCCCACCAAGACUACGAUGGAUAGGGGUUCUGAGAGGAAGGUCCCCCACAUUGGAACUGAGACACGGUCCAAACUCCUACGGGAGGCAGCAGUGAGGAAUAUUGGUCAAUGGGCGCGAGCCUGAACCAGCCAAGUAGCGUGAAGGAUGAAGGCUCUAUGGGUCGUAAACUUCUUUUAUAUGGGAAUAAAGUUUUCCACGUGUGGAAUUUUGUAUGUACCAUAUGAAUAAGGAUCGGCUAACUCCGUGCCAGCAGCCGCGGUAAUACGGAGGAUCCGAGCGUUAUCCGGAUUUAUUGGGUUUAAAGGGAGCGUAGGUGGAUUGUUAAGUCAGUUGUGAAAGUUUGCGGCUCAACCGUAAAAUUGCAGUUGAAACUGGCAGUCUUGAGUACAGUAGAGGUGGGCGGAAUUCGUGGUGUAGCGGUGAAAUGCUUAGAUAUCACGAAGAACUCCGAUUGCGAAGGCAGCUCACUAGACUGUCACUGACACUGAUGCUCGAAAGUGUGGGUAUCAAACAGGAUUAGAUACCCUGGUAGUCCACACAGUAAACGAUGAAUACUCGCUGUUUGCGAUAUACAGUAAGCGGCCAAGCGAAAGCAUUAAGUAUUCCACCUGGGGAGUACGCCGGCAACGGUGAAACUCAAAGGAAUUGACGGGGGCCCGCACAAGCGGAGGAACAUGUGGUUUAAUUCGAUGAUACGCGAGGAACCUUACCCGGGCUUAAAUUGCAACAGAAUAUAUUGGAAACAGUAUAGCCGUAAGGCUGUUGUGAAGGUGCUGCAUGGUUGUCGUCAGCUCGUGCCGCGAGGUGUCGGCUUAAGUGCCAUAACGAGCGCAACCCUUAUCUUUAGUUACUAACAGGUGAUGCUGAGGACUCUAGAGAGACUGCCGUCGUAAGAUGUGAGGAAGGUGGGGAUGACGUCAAAUCAGCACGGCCCUUACGUCCGGGGCUACACACGUGUUACAAUGGGGGGUACAGAAGGCGGCUACCUGGUGACAGGAUGCUAAUCCCAAAAACCUCUCUCAGUUCGGAUCGAAGUCUGCAACCCGACUUCGUGAAGCUGGAUUCGCUAGUAAUCGCGCAUCAGCCAUGGCGCGGUGAAUACGUUCCCGGGCCUUGUACACACCGCCCGUCAAGCCAUGAAAGCCGGGGGUACCUGAAGUACGUAACCGCAAGGAGCGUCCUAGGGUAAAACUGGUAAUUGGGGCUAAGUCAUAACA
This 1452-nucleotide ribosomal RNA is filed under the name uncultured organism. RNAcentral describes it as "SSU rRNA". It matches the Rfam family "Bacterial small subunit ribosomal RNA". The record is from RNAcentral.